This 353-nucleotide ribosomal RNA is filed under the name uncultured bacterium. Its description in RNAcentral is "partial 16S ribosomal RNA". It matches the Rfam family "Bacterial small subunit ribosomal RNA", at positions 338 to 690 of the family's 1533-position model. The record is from RNAcentral.
CCUACGGGUGGCAGCAGUGGGGAAUAUUGCACAAUGGGGGAAACCCUGAUGCAGCGACGCCGCGUGAGUGAAGAAGUAUUUCGGUAUGUAAAGCUCUAUCAGCAGGGAAGAAAUAGCGACCUUUGGGUCGCCAGACGGUACCUGACUAAGAAGCCCCGGCUAACUACGUGCCAGCAGCCGCGGUAAUACGUAGGGGGCAAGCGUUAUCCGGAUUUACUGGGGGUAAAGGGAGCGUAGACGGCAGCACAAGUCUGAAGUGAAAUGCCGGGGCUUAACCCCGGGACUGCUUUGGAAACUGGGCAGCCAGAGUGGAGGAGGGGGAAGUGGAAAUCCUAGGGGAGCGGUGAAAUGCG